AAUCAACGCUGGCGGCGUGCCUCAGACAUGCAAGUCGAACGAUUAAAGCUCUCUUCGGAGAGUGUAUAGAGUGGCGCACGGGUGAGUAACACGUAAGUAAUCUACCUUUGAGUGGGGAAUAACCCGGGGAAACCCGAGCUAAUACCGCAUAAUGCAGCGGCACCGCAAGGUGACAGUUGUUAAAGGAGCAAUCCGCUUAAAGAGGAGCUUGCGGCAGAUUAGCUAGNGGUAAGGUAAUGGCUUACCAAGGCUUCGAUCUGUAUCCGGCCUGAGAGGGCGGUCGGACACACUGACACUGAAUAACGGGUCAGACUCCUACGGGAGGCAGCAGUCGGGAAUUUGGGCAAUGGGCGAAAGCCUGACCCAGCAACGCCGCGUGAAGGAUGAAGUAUUUCGGUAUGUAAACUUCGAAAGAAUGGGAAGAAUCAAUGACGGUACCAUUUAUAAGGUCCGGCUAACUACGUGCCAGCCGCCGCGGUAAC
This 482-nucleotide ribosomal RNA is filed under the name uncultured bacterium. RNAcentral's name for it is "bacterial SSU rRNA". It matches the Rfam family "Bacterial small subunit ribosomal RNA", at positions 32 to 524 of the family's 1533-position model. The record is from RNAcentral.